This is a non-coding RNA of Acanthosepion pharaonis, 107 nucleotides long. The record is from the annotation of a GenBank genome assembly. Lineage: Eukaryota; Metazoa; Mollusca; Cephalopoda; Sepiida; Sepiidae.
UCCGGCCAUAUCACGUUGAAACACAGGUUCUCGUACGAUCUUUGAAAUUAAGCAACGUCGAGCCUGGUCAGUACCUAGGUGAAUGACCAUCUGGGAAUACUAAGUGC